AAGCCAUGGCAACCAUUUCUCCUCUAUUCCAAGGCCUGUUAUCCUGUCAUGGAAAGAAAUGAGCUUGGUUUGAUGCGGUCUGUUCCCAGGUGUCUGACACAUGGUGAAUCACAGCCAUCAGCGCUAAUACAAGGCUCAGCUGAGGCAGAGGGAGGAGAGGAAGGAGGAGAAAGAAAGAAAAGGUUGGAAAUCACAGCCACCUGUCUGCAGCUGGGGUGCUUCUUAUCAGAGGAUGUGAGGUGAAGAAUCCUUGCAGACCUUGUGAGCAGGAGCUGCACUUUUUCCCGUUCCAGCUUCCCGGUUCCAGCUUCAGAAGGCAGUGAUGUUGCACUGCAGCCAAGCCCUCUCCGCCAGUCCCUCCAACAGACUGCACCAAAUGUAACUUCCUCUCCCUUCACUGCAUUACACAGUCUUGAAGUUCAUUAAUACCAAAUUUGGCAUUCGCUUUAUGCCUCGAAUACAAAUUUUAAAGGCCAGACAGGAAUUACCUGGAGGCCUCCCUCUUUGCACAGGAGACUGUACAGAACAGUAGCAGAAUAUUGCGCCCUUGCCUCUCAUUGACGGUUACCCACCCCGUGUUUUUAUUGGGUUAGGAGACUUCUUUUUACUGAAACUGAUUCUCAAAUGUCCACAGCCACAAAAUCUCUGCAGGCUACAAGUACAGCAGAAUUUUGAUCAUCUCUCACUCCUCAGCCUGCUUUCCUGGUGCUCCGCACUUUGAACAAUCAAAUUGAAGCAACUGUCUGCAGUUCCCAUGGAUUUAUUCUGAGCAAGGGCACCAAGAAUCCCCAGCAUCAGAAUUAAUCAUACAGAAUCAAGAAAAAUACGUUUAAAUUCAGCUGCAGCAGGGAACCUGCUAUGGGAUAAACUCUUGAGUUCUAGUGUACCCAGCAUCCCGCCUUGCCAUCCCUAUUGUGUUUCUAAAAAUGAAACUAGCUAUAUAAAUGAUUUUUACUGCCCAAGGUGAGAGAAAAGCAAAAGAAACAAACCACAAAACUACGUGAAAAGCUUUAAUUAGAACAGUAUUUUAUAAUUCUCAAAGGAGGUUUAAGGACAGUAUCAUAUGUACAGAAAUGUGUAACUUUAUUGUGUUGUGUGUUUGAAGAUUGAGACUGAGCACUUCCACCUUAUAACCUAAGCAUGAGCUGCAACUGAAAUAAUAACGCACACAAACAGAAAAUUCUGCAGUUUCAGAAACUAAUGGACACAAGAUUUCAAAUGAGGCCUCCAAAAUGUCAUCUGAGUGUCUGAAAUGUGGCCAUUCCCAGAGCCAGGGGUGCCCUGGGGGAAACACAGAGGCGAAGCUGUAUGGAUGGGGUAUGCGGUGGCUGCUGCAAUCAGAGCUGCUAAGAAACGUUCUGACUGAGGAGGAUCUUCAGGGAAUUACUUUUUCAGAAGAAUUUCAGAACACUGACACAGGGGAAGCUCAGAAGGUGUGAGGAGUGACUUGGCACAGAAACUAGAAUGGGGCUGCAGAGGCAAAGGUGCAAGGUUUAUCUGGCCUGUUGUUUUCAGAAAACAUGGCUGAAUGUGAAGCAGAAAUCUCCCCAGUAUAAGAACAUUUUUAGUGUGUUUGUUACUGCAUUUUUUGUGCUUUUUCACAUGAGUUUUCAUGCCUGCAGCCAGAUAGAGUGGGAAUAGCGAGCCGGUCAUUUCACACGCAGCCGAGGUUGACACACAGCAGCUGUGUGUGUGUCUGGUGGCCAUGAUUUGCAUGCAAACAGUGUCAUUAUCAAGUUGAUGGUUGACUGUUUCACCACACACAGGCCUUAUACACAUAAUGACACCUCGAACUGUCUUCAGAUCUGGCCUCCAAACCUCUGUUAAAAUUACAAGUUAGUUGACUGGUGAGAGCUUUGCUGAGGCUGGAAGACACGCAUGUAAAUUCUGAAGGCAGCGCUACAUCAGAAAUUUAACAAACCAGUAAGGACUGUGUAAGCAAGGAAAAAAGGGAAGCUUUGGUGGCUGAAAUGGCUGUGCUUCGGCAGGAUGUGCUGUUUGUCUGAGCCUUCACUCACACGUCCACGUCCCACUUAUGGCACCUGCCAGUAGUAGCAGUGACUGGGUGGCCUCUGGCUGUUCUAGGUAAUGGCUGUUGGAGAAGGGUUGCUCAAUCAGAAGCCCACUACGUCGCCGUCUCUUUGAAAUAGAGACUUCCUGCUCUGGACCAACGUUUUUAAAAACUUUUCCCCUUCCUUUUGAAAACCCUUUCUCACUUUGGGGUUAAAUCUUUCCUUGCUGUAACUCCCCCAGGGCUAAUCUGGCCCAUGUUUUUCCCUAUCUCUCAGCCAGAGAACCAAUUAAAAGAGAUCCUGACAAAUCACGGAGCAGAGGGAGUUAUUUCCUCACUAAAUGCUCUCCCUGGGCUAAAUCCUUUAUGUGAACUGCAGUCUUUUUGCUAGCCCAUGGGAAGCUGGUUGCAAACACAUCUGAUGUGUCUGCCCAUUCAGAAGACCUUCUUAUUUCAGCAGGAAAUAUCUGGGCCUACUCCUACUUGCUACUGCUCCUAAAUAUCCCCAGUGGAUAUCUCAGCAGCCAUUACACAGAGCCAGUCCUGAAAGCAGACAUUUUUUCCUAUUUUAUAAUGGGAGAGUUCAUUUAUGCUGAGAAUACAGUUUUUACCAGACUGCCUGCAGGACAAUACAAUAAAAGAUUUAUCCUUAAUAGCAUUUCACUGAAGUUUCACCACAGGAGACAGGGCUUUUUGUUGUGC
This is a long non-coding RNA of Numida meleagris (helmeted guineafowl), 2713 nucleotides long. RefSeq lists it as uncharacterized. The transcript is spliced from 3 exons. The record is from RefSeq and is a predicted model, not a curated record. NCBI's taxonomy places the organism in Eukaryota, Metazoa, Chordata, Aves, Galliformes, Numididae.